UACGUAGGGUCCGAGCGUUGUCCGGAAUUAUUGGGCGUAAAGAGCUCGUAGGCGGUAUGUCGCGUCUGCUGUGAAAGACCGGGGCUUAACUUCGGUUUUGCAGUGGAUACGGGCAUGCUUGAGGUAGGUAGGGGAGACUGGAAUUCCUGGUGUAGCGGUGAAAUGCGCAGAUAUCAGGAGGAACACCGGUGGCGAAGGCGGGUCUCUGGGCCUUACCUGACGCUGAGGAGCGAAAGCAUGGGUGGCCAACAGGAUUAGAUACCCGUGUAGU
RNAcentral lists this ribosomal RNA (271 nucleotides) under uncultured prokaryote. RNAcentral's name for it is "partial 16S ribosomal RNA". It matches the Rfam family "Bacterial small subunit ribosomal RNA", at positions 524 to 794 of the family's 1533-position model. The record is from RNAcentral.